RNAcentral lists this ribosomal RNA (275 nucleotides) under uncultured Pseudomonas sp. RNAcentral describes it as "partial 16S ribosomal RNA". It matches the Rfam family "Bacterial small subunit ribosomal RNA", at positions 1107 to 1382 of the family's 1533-position model. The record is from RNAcentral. Lineage: Bacteria; Pseudomonadati; Pseudomonadota; Gammaproteobacteria; Pseudomonadales; Pseudomonadaceae.
GUCCUUAGUUACCAGCACGUUAUGUGGGCACUCUAAGGAGACUGCCGGUGGACAACCGGAGGAAGGUGGGGAUGACGUCAAGUCAUCAUGGCCCUUACGGCCUGGGCUACACACGUGCUACAAUGGUCGGUACAAAGGGUUGCCAAGCCGCGAGGUGGAGCUAAUCCCAUAAAACCGAUCGUAGUCCGGAUCGCAGUCUGCAACUCGACUGCGUGAAGUCGGAAUCGCUAGUAAUCGUGAAUCAGAAUGUCACGGUGAAUACGUUCCCGGGCCUU